GAUGAACGCUGGCGGCGUGCCUAAUACAUGCAAGUCGAGCGAACAGAUGAGGAGCUUGCUCCUCUGACGUUAGCGGCGGACGGGUGAGUAACACGUGGAUAACCUACCUAUAAGACUGGGAUAACUUCGGGAAACCGGAGCUAAUACCGGAUAAUAUAUUGAACCGCAUGGUUCAAUAGUGAAAGACGGUUUUGCUGUCACUUAUAGAUGGAUCCGCGCCGCAUUAGCUAGUUGGUAAGGUAACGGCUUACCAAGGCAACGAUGCGUAGCCGACCUGAGAGGGUGAUCGGCCACACUGGAACUGGAACACGGUCCAGACUCCUACGGGAGGCAGCAGUAGGGAAUCUUCCGCAAUGGGCGAAAGCCUGACGGAGCAACGCCGCGUGAGUGAUGAAGGUCUUCGGAUCGUAAAACUCUGUUAUUAGGGAAGAACAGAUGUGUAAGUAACUAUGCACGUCUUGACGGUACCUAAUCAGAAAGCCACGGCUAACUACGUG
This 497-nucleotide ribosomal RNA is filed under the name uncultured bacterium. RNAcentral's name for it is "partial 16S ribosomal RNA". It matches the Rfam family "Bacterial small subunit ribosomal RNA", at positions 28 to 507 of the family's 1533-position model. The record is from RNAcentral.